Columba livia (rock pigeon) is the source of this 2790-nucleotide long non-coding RNA. RefSeq lists it as uncharacterized. The record is from RefSeq and is a predicted model, not a curated record. The transcript is spliced from 4 exons. NCBI's taxonomy places the organism in Eukaryota, Metazoa, Chordata, Aves, Columbiformes, Columbidae.
CAAGUUUCAUACCUGUUAGGGACAUGCCAGAAACCACAAAUGUUCCUUAAGCCAGCAACAGCAAAAGGAACUGGGAGUUUCCACACAGGCAAAGACAAUGUCUGCAGUAGAUUGUCUUGCAAAUUAGUUUCGUCUCAUUGCCAAGAGAUGAGAGCAGGAAAAGGAUGCCACGGGAUGAGAGCAGGAAAACCAGCAUCUGGAUUUCUAGAACCCCAAAAGGCUGAGGUCUUCAAGAGAACAAGUGACACAUUACUCUACACUGAAGUCUUUUUAAAGGGAACAAAAGUCUUCCUGGAAGCAAGUCCAUGAAACCGUAAAGUAUUUUAGGAAGAUCCCAGGCUGUGUGAGAUCAAUUAAAAGAAAACACUCCUGAGGUGCAUGGAUGCAAAAUGCAAACACCUCUGCGGGCGCCAGCUUGAAAAUAUCAUUAUUCAAAGAAGUGCUGGCACAGGAGCAGUCGCCGCGGCACACGAGCUGCGUGUCCGGGUGCCAGGGACCGGGCAGAAGGGCUGUCCUGCUGCUCACGGGGCAGUGGGUAACCCAAGAAGGGGCAUCUCCUGGCAUCCUGCGAUGCCUCCUGCCAGCUCUGCAUGCCAGAGAGCCAGGAACACCUGCCAACAAUGGCAAGAGCGCUUCUCACUUAGCGUAGCAGAGGCUGGGACACAGCCUUAUUAAUUGCAUUCAACUGUUGGCUCAAAUGAAUCGAGCUGGCAGGGAGAACGGUGACAGCAAGCGCUUGUGUUGCGAGCGCAGGACGCCUCGUUCCCUGUCUUCCUCCUGCUUGUUUUCACCCCCUGCUCUGCACAGGGAUUUUAAGAUCAGUGCAAUUAAUUUAGGUGUAAGGGGGAAGGAUUGAACAAUCGAGUGCUGGCAAUAGAAUAGCCGCUCUUUGCUCAGGGCUCGCAGUUGCGAUGUAGCCAAGCCCUACAUCCAAGGGAGAAUUGGUACCAAAUGGCUUAAUGAAGGAAACACCGCCAAGAAUCAACAAGAACAGCCUAAGAGCCCUGCACAAGAUGCCACGUCACGGGCAGCAGCCCAUGUGAAAGAUUGUAAGAGCUUUUUGUCUGACAAAUCCCUUGGAAACAAACCCUGAGGAUGCAAAGACUUGAUUCUCCAGUGACAUGGCACAGUGUCUUUGAAGACAAUCUGUGCUUCAGACCCUUCUAGUCCUCCAACCUUUAGUGGUUUUGCUGCUCAUCUUAAGUAAAGGAUCUGCUAAAGAAGAAAAUACCCCUCUGGGGUUACCUCUGAAGUGGGAUCCUCUACAGCUGCUGGACUGGUUGUUCCAAUGAGAGAGAAACUGCCGGAAAUUUCUGUGGAUGCCGUUCCAAAUGCAGCAGCGUGCGCCUGUGUUCCAGCUGUCUCACCAUAAAGUGUGACUAUUUCCUACAAUCAUCUGCAAGAAGUCUUUCAAUUCUGCCGAACUUGUAAUGCUGUCAUGGAAAUGACCAAGAAGCAUUUUCUACAGCUAUAUAAUAACUACACGAUGGCUAAAGGACUUUGUAUCUGUUAAUGUAUCCCCUUUAUGCAGCAGAAGCUGCCAUAAGCAUCAGGAUAAUCUGUGCCCUUCCCGAGGUGUCCAUCAAAUGCCGUCUGGCGCAUCGGUGAGGUGUGAGAUGCAGCUCUGGUUUGUAUCGUUGGAAUAUGUUCGAAUAUCAGCUACACUGUAUCCUGGAUGCAGCAUUAAUUAAACAGAACGGCCCUGCUUCAGGCCCCAAUGGACAAGCAUCCACAUGGCAACUGCGAGCCUUGUCGGCAGCAAGAGAUUAAGGAAUUAAUUGGCAGGGUUAAUCUUCACGUCAGGGUUGGAGAUGAAUUGUUAAUUUGUUUGGAUGAGUGUAAAGUCCUCUCCCAGCGAUGGCAGGUGGGAUCACAUGAGAAAAAGCCUGCGAAGCUGCCCUUCCUGGGGACCUUUCUAUUUAACACCUCCUGCAAACAGACCGCUCAUAGUCUUUGCCCCCGAUGUGCGAGACUCCUGCGCAGGGUCGGAGGAGCAGGUUGUGCCGCUCACGUCCUGCCAGAUGACAGCACAGCUGCUCUGAGACGUGGGAGGGCCCAGCUGCAGCGUGGGAGGGCCCCUGCGUGUUACGGUUUUUUCCUUCUGAUCUGGUUCCCUUGCACCAAGCAGAUCCCAUCACUGUGUUGCAGAUCCCAGAUCAGGCCAACCUGCUCUAGGAUCUCGGAAUGAGGGACAGAGGGAUGUGAUGACACUGAAAAGCUGCUGUUGGGGCAAGUGGUACCAGCCUUGCACACAGCCUGCAGAACUUGACAGGAGUUGUGGCCCCUUCUGCAAGUUCCAGUGCUUCAGCACCAUGGCCUGAGCAGCAGCUUCACUUGGAUUUUCCACGAGAGGUUUCCCGUCUUCCCUCAAAAGUGGCCACAGGAAGAAGAAACCAACAGUUCUGUUUGUUGUUCCUCACAUCUUCAGGAGGCAGGACCCUGGCAGGGAUUUCAUCAUCUCCUUUACAGCUUAGGUAAGUUAUGUGGCAGACACAACUCAACACAAUUUGUCAUCUGUUUCUCCAUGGUAGCAUCUACUCUAGUCAUGCUGUACAAUGGUUACAAGGUUGUUGCGAUGUGUUCAGAUUCAAUAAACUACCCAGUAAAGAUAAUCUUGUCUAAAGGAAACACAGUAAAAUGUCCUGUAAGAUUAAUACAUGAGAUAAGAAAUCCAAUUAGAGCACAGAUCCUGCCACUUCAAUCAUUAUGGGUAAGAUACAAUUAACUCUGUAUAUUGCAUACUAACUAUAGGUGGGAUCAGGCCAUGUUUGAUAAAAUUGUUCCCAUUCU